Molecule: ribosomal RNA, 494 nt
Filed under: uncultured Propionibacterium sp.
Lineage: Bacteria; Bacillati; Actinomycetota; Actinomycetes; Propionibacteriales; Propionibacteriaceae
Description: bacterial SSU rRNA
Rfam family: Bacterial small subunit ribosomal RNA
Source: RNAcentral
GUAGUUGACUCCUGGCUACGAGGACACGCUGGCGGCGUGCUUAACACAUGCAAGUCGAACGGAAAGGCCCUGCGUUUUGUGGGGUGCUCGAGUGGCGAACGGGUGAGGUAACACGUGAGUAACCUGCCCUUGACUUUGGGAUAACUUCAGGAAACUGGGGCUAAUACCGGAUAGGAGCUCCUGCUGCAUGGUCGGGGGUUGGAAAGGUUUCGGCGGUUGGGGAUGGACUCGCGGCUUAUCAGCUUGUUGGUGGGGUAGUGGCUUACCAAGGCUUUGACGGGUAGCCGGCCUGAGAGGGUGACCGGCCACAUUGGGACUGAGAUACGGCCCAGACUCCUACGGGAGGCAGCAGUGGGGAAUAGUUGCACAAUGGGGCGGAAGCCUGAUGCAGCAACGCCGCGUGCGGGAUGACGGCCUUCGGGUUGUAAACCGCUUUCGCCUGUGACGAAGCGUGAGUGACGGUAAUGGGUAAAGAAGCACCGGCUAACUACGUG